AUUCCAAGUGUUUUGAUGAUUGUGAUUCCAUUUGAGGUGUCACACUUGGGGCACUAGGCACUCAAGCUUCAUGAAGACUUUCUACAUCAAAGAGGUAUGUAUUCUAUCUUGCUAUAGUCAUUGUUUUGUAUGCUAGAUUAGGAUAAUACCUUGGAAGUUCUUAUUUGCAUGUAUAAUAGAGAAAACAUAGAUCCAAGGUAUUUAGGGUUGCAUGUACACUUAGGAGUGUUAGAAUGCUCAAAACCCAACAGUGGUAUCAGAGCCUAGGCUUGUUUUCUUGUUAUACCUGCAAUAGAAGCUGAAAAAACGAAUCUGGUGCUGUCUGGCCAUCAGACUCGGCGAGUCCAUCAGGAGACUCGACGAGUCCAUGCCUAAAAAGUGAUGAAUUCGAUCCAACUCGCCGAGUUUGUUCAUGCACUCGACGAGUUGGACCCCCAGACAGCAUAUUUUCGAGUUUUUUGGCUAGAAAUGGACUAGGAACAUUACCCUAAGUUGUUUUUGAUCUUAUAAACUUGUUUUUGAUGUGGUAAUGUUCAUGCUAAUCCAUUUUCAAAGAUAAUUGUCAAUAGAUUCAUGUUUUGUAUUAGUUUAAGGUUUAGACUAAUUACAUGAAAAAGUUUGAUUUGAAUUAUCUUGUUCUUAUGAGUUGCUUAGAUUAAUAGAAAUGUUGAGUGAAAUAGUUGUUUUCAAUCCAUUUUAAUCUAAGAGUUGAGUAUAAAAUGUGUUUGUGUAACUUGUCCUCAAGUUACAUGAAGAGUCACAUUAAAGACUCAUAAAAUUCAUAAAAGUUGGCAAUGGUUACAAAAUGAAGAGUCUUGUGUCAUUGAAUAAUUUUUUUUGACUCCAUAACUUGUCCUCAAGUUAUGGAAGUUCAAGAGUCACUUCAUUAAAGAAAAAUAUGUAACCAUAAUUAAAUCCAUAAGUUAUAAAAUAAAGAAAAAGUUAGUUCUUUUAUUAGUUUAAAGUCUUCCAUAACUUGUCCUCAAGUUAUGGAACUUGAAGAGUUUUUGGAUUAAAACUACUUUAAACACAUAAGUUAUGGAAUUAAUUAGUUUUGAAUAGUUUCAAAACUUGCCCUCAAGUUUUGGAAUUUGAAAAGUUUUCAAGUAUGAAUACUUUAAUUCCAAGUUAGCCCUUAGAAUUUUAAAAGUUAAAAUUCAACCCUUAUACUUUAUAAUAUUAUAAGUUAAUAAUAUAUAUAUGUAUAAGAGUAAAGUCAGUCUUACCGCUAGUACGCCUCAUUCACGAAGCCGGUCUAUAAGGUGGGUAUAAGGUUGUUGCCUAUAAAAUGGCAACUUAAUGGGUGUCCACUCUCACCCACCGCUUGCUUGACUGGUGGAGGGUCGUUAGCCGAACGGGUUUGACAGGACUAGAAUUCUCCCUUCAUUAAAAGUAUUAAUGAUAAUACUAAGUAACUAAACUCUUAAUAAUACCCAAUCUUAGUUACUUAGGAAAAAUGUGAAUAAGGUGCUAAUCCAUGAAAUUACACUUUACACUUUGUCUAAGUCGUUAGUGGAGCGUGUGUGGUUAACCGGCACACUAACUUGGACUUAACAAGGUAGGUAAAGGGUGACUUAAUAUUUAUCAUAGUAUCGAUGGAGCGUGUGUGGUUAACCGGCACAUCGAUUGAGGGGUAAUUUAUUAAGGGUACCAAGUGAUUUGCAUGGUUACUUCACACCUUGUUUUGUGAUCCUCGGCAUCCCAGUCACAAAACCUGAAGGGCACACUCGAGAUUGAAACAUGCCUUUGAAAAGUUCAAUGAAUCUCAAAGAUCUAGGAGUUUCAAAACCAAUUAAAACCUAAUAAUACAUUUCGUUUAUCUUGGUGGAAAUUGGUGAAUCGUCAUUCACCUACCUUCAAAUAUUUUAUAGCUUGGAUUACGGCAUACCUCUUCUAAGUUAUAAAAUAGUUUGUUGGGUCCUAGCCUUAAUAUUUCAUAUUGGGUGUCAUAUUAAGGACUUUAAAUCAACUAUCUUGAAUAUCUCCCAAAAGAUGUCUGGUUUAGACACCUAUGAUCUUCCCAAAUCUCUUGAAACAAGGUUUCCUAAUGAAGAUGAUGUCCCAUGGAUAUCAUACUUCUUCACCUCUUCAAAUUAUUCUCCCUAACCCACAAGUUCUUGAAAAGUUUAAGGUCACUCAGGCCCUAUUAGCAAGGCAAGGUCUAGGUGUGGUCACAUCUUGGAGAUGUAGUCACAUAUUGACAAGCCGGGAGAGUUGGGUGUCAAAGUCUUGAGAAAGUUGGUGGUUCAACCACUUUCUAAGUCACAUAGUGAGUUCCUUUGGGACACCUAUGAAACAGACUAUGACAAGACCCUUAAUGAUCUUAUCUAUUUGCUAAGAUCAACUUCCUAAAACUUUAUGGACAUUGACAAUGAUGACAUUGGAUAUCCAGUAAAGCAUUCUCUUCCCAAUGGAAAGGGAUCGGCCAUAGUCAACUCGGUUGACCAAAUGGUAAAGAGAAAAGCUAAGUCUGUGAUAGUCCCGUGUACCAUUAUCAAAGGGUCCAUAUGUUUAUAUUGCCAAAGGAAGGGGCAUUGGUUGCGAAGCUGCCAAAUUUACCUAAGGAUGUUAAAGUCAAUAAGUUUGACUCUACUUCAGGUAAAGUCCACUAUCUAACUCUGUUAAGUUUCUAUUCUGAGAUUCUUGAUACAUGAUGUGACUGGGUCACAUGGUGAUGUUUUAAGAAUCAAAGAAAAGUGAAGAAACUUAAAGAAAGAAUAUGCUGAAUCUGAUGGCGUAGAUGGAUUUCUAUCGCAUAGUUUGAAGAUCGGAUUCUUGAGCUACUUCUUAGGAGUUAUGAGAUAUUGCUUAGGAAUAGAUAACAACAAGUUUUCAUAUGGAUUGUAAGGAUAAGUUUUUCCGCAAAGUUUUAAAAUAAAAGAAAAUUUUUUUGAUUUUAUUUAUUUUAAAAUAUCCUUACAAUGGCUUUUGAGGAAAAAUUGUUGCUUAUAUGAUUCCAUUAAGAGCAAGAGUGGAAAUAUGAAAUUGAUUCUUUCAUUUGUGGUAAUGUCUAGAUUUACCAAAUAAGGAAAGAUUCUCAUCACCCAAGUUUCAAUUGGACCGGAACUUGGAAUCAUGCAAGUUGUAUAGCAUGAUGAAUGAGAACUUUCAAGUUUUGGAAAAUUAAGACUAAUUACUUGUUCACAUGGAUGUGUGAGUCAAGUAAAGGACUAAGGGAUCGAGUACACAUUCUUGUGCACUGAUUAAGUCCACCACUAAAGAUCGAUAAGAAGAAUCAAAUUAGGCAGAAGGAUAAAAGUUUCUCAAAUCUGAAAAGAUGGGAGAGUACUUUAGUAUCAGUUUUGUGAUCAUCUUAAUGAUUAAGAAACCAUAUCACAAUUAGUUCUCUAAGGAAAUCUUAGUGCAUUCUUAUGACUAAGAAGAGGAACUUGAAUUGUUGAAAUGGUUAAAUCAAGAAGAUGAGUCAUACUUCGUUCCAAUACAAGUCUUAGAGUCAUACUCCAAGAUUGUCAUUUGAGUGACAUGUCUUAAAGAAGGUUUAAAACACUUGUCAAAUGUAAGAGUAAAAGUUUUCUACUCUUGUACAUUUGAAAUUGGUAAGUUGUGAUGUUUUGGAUAAAACAAAGACCAACUUAGGCCAAUUGGGUAAAGUGUUUUUCUUGAUUAGAAUCCGCACUAUCUCUUGGAUGUUUGACAAGGGAGUCUUAUAUGUCAAGAGGACAGUGGGAGUCUUAAAGGUCUUGAAAGUCUCAAGAAAUAAUCAAGAAUAAAACCUGAAGUUCUUCACUAGCACACGACUUGAGGUUUAUAACCUAUCGUGUUGACAUAUCUGUGCCCAUUCCAGUUAAAGUUGGCUUUGCAUAUGAGUUCUUAGAGUUCUCAGUUUGUUGCAUAACAACUUGGAAGCAAUGGCAGGCCCUUGAGCUGCCAGGUGGCAAGAAGUUAAGAUUGAGUUCAAUCCAUAUGGUUUUGGAUUUGUCAUUAUCUUUGUCUUGUGAUUAUGGUUUGACAAAUUCAUAUGGGUAGGAACUCAUACACCAUAUAAAUCUAAGUGUCAUAAGGUUUCUCUCCGAUUCAUGAAAAUGAUGGUGAGGAAACGCUUUCACUAAGUAGAUUUUACGAAGAUAUCAAUUGUGUUAUUUGCAUUUUCAAAAGUCGUUAGUGGAGCGCGUGUGGUUAACCGGCACACUAACAUGGACUUGUGAGAAAUGGCAAAUGCCUAAGCAAUUGAGACCAUGAUUACGGUAUCCCUUUUCAUGGUUCUUGAAAUUGCUUAGACACACAGGUGAGCUAUCUACGGAAAGGGUGUAUGAAUCUAAAUUUCAGACUGUCCAGCUGAUUUCUGAGUACAUGUCAAAGCUAGUGGGAGCAUAAGUGUUAUGCUAAUAAUCAUCAUGUUAGUGGGAGCAUGAUAAUUAUGAUAAGUAUUGCAAGUUAGCAAUGUUAAUUAUAGAAAACAAAAGUUUCAAUUGGGAAAAAGUUGUUUUGCUAUAAUUAAGGGAGAGGAAAUUAUGCUUCAUCUCAAAUCUAUAAGCUUAGAUCGUGAGGUUUUAAUCAUUUAGUCAAGGAUAUAUAUGAAUUUCAUGUUGGAAUGGCUCAACAUAAGGAAAUUCUGUAUAUGGGUCCAUUAUUUGCGUUCUAAAAUUCGAUUAUGAUUACGGCAUCCCUUUUCAUAAUCUGAAUUAUGAGAACUUGGCAAAUUGAAAUGGAAAUAUUAUAGCAAAAGACUGGUUUAGUCUUUAUGUAAGACAUCAUGAAUCGUGUCCCAUAUGCUUCGGAUAUAGGAUCGAUUACAUGUGCUAUAUUCAUCCGUUCUAAAAUUUUCCAAAUGCCUGGGGCAUUAAGAAGGGAAAAGGUUUAGAACUGGAUAUGACUAAAAGGAUUAAACAAUUGUCGAGGACAAUCUAAGGUUUACCAAAGAUUGGUUACUCAAGGACAAUUGGAAGUAUAGUGAUAAUUCUGGAAGGACCAUAUUGACAUAAUCUGUAAGGAGGCAACUCUUGUUCAGAAGUGAUAGUCAAAAUGGAAUCUGGAAAUGUUUCAAAGUUAGAAUUUUCAAUCUGUGUAAGAUUAAGGAAACUUAAUGCAAGAAGGAUAUUUCCAAGGAGUUGAUCUCCUUUGGAAUACUCUGUAAUGAUUGUUGCCAAGUCUUUGUGACUUUGUGCAUAAUCAUUACAAGAGGAUCAAUGCAUAUAAGUUUAGAAUCUAACAGAUUUCAGUAAAUGGCAUGAAUUUGGAAUUCUUGCAUUUGCAGUAAGGAUUUGGGAGUGUGAAAAGAGAAUCAUUGAAGUUAUGUUCAAUUGAUCUAGUUCACAAAGUAAAGAUCAUAGACAAACAUAGUAUGCAUACUUGGUGUGUGGCAUGACUAGUGUUUAAGAAAACAUAGUGUACAUGCUUGGAGCAUGGGACAACUAUUGUUUUAAAUUCAAGAAUAAAGUUGAUAGCUGAAACAGUAUACAAUGAAUAAUGUGUAAUCAUAUGGUGAUAAAUAAAAGGUGUUUUAUUUAUGUUCAAAGGGUUGAUACCAUAUUGGAUUCAAUUAUUAUUGUGUUUCAUUUUGCAUGUUUUGACUUCCCGAAUAAACUGGGUUAUUCUUCCGGAAUGACUAAGUUAUUCAAACCAUCCACAGUCGGUCAUAUGUUGGAAGUAGAUAUGAAUUAAGACUGUCAUGGGUUGGCUUGUAGAGGUCUAAGGUGUUGGACAAAGGGCUACAACACUCAUGAGUGCUCAUAAGUUCUGAGUAUUGGAUUCAACCCGCGCUCAUUGGAAUCACUUCAUGGAUUUUAUCACGAGUGAUCAUGAGACGAUAAUAUCUUAUAUUCUUCAAACCUAGAGAUAUGAGUUGUUACUAUGAGUUGAUAGUACAUUGAUUGCACGAAAACGCAUUUGGUAACUCGGUGCUAUAAAACGUGCCUUUGUGUAUGAUUCAACAAGUAGUAGAACAAGCCAUAUGAGUCGAAGUUUAUCCAUUCCUUUUACCUUCGGGAUAAAAGCGAUAUCUGUGGGCCCCUCGAUGAUUUGAUGAUGACAAAUGGAAGUGCUCGGCCGGGCCAGGACUGAUUUGAUUUGUUCAAUUAGUCAGUCGUCAUAAAUCGGAAAUCGGGAAACAACAAAUGGACAGAGAGAAUGAUUAUAAUCCAUGUCUCAGUCCAUAUGAUAUCUAGAAUGGAGGAAUAUAUGAUCCCUUAUCUAAUGGACAAGUCAUUGACAAAGGUCAGAGUUCAUCUACAAGGUCAGAGUUCGACAGAAGCUUUUGAGAGCUACGAUUGCCAGUUGGUUCCUGAAGUCAUACGCAAUAAUAGUUUUAGACUUAUCCAAGUGGGAGACUGUUGGAUUAAUGUCUAAGUCCAUAACUAUAAUUGGUAAGACUUGACCCGACCCGGCAUGGUCCAUUUGGGUUGCAUACCAUCAUGCACUUGGAUAGACUAGAAUGAGAGAAAUAAGACACUUAUGGUUAUUAAUAUAUUAUAAGUUCUAGUAUAUUAAUAAUAAGAAUAAUAAGAUUAUUUAAUUAGUAUUGAUCAAGAAUUAAUCUAGGAUUAAUUAAGUGAUCAAAAGAAGACUAAUUAAAUAUAUGGGUUGAUUGUGUAAAUCAUCCAUACUUGUAUAGUGGGCUAAUGCUCCAUGGAUAAUCAAGUUGGGCUAAACCCAUAGGAUGGUCCAUGGAUGCUCCAUGGUGUAUUUGUACCCAUGGAUCCAAGGAAAUGGAAAGCCAUGACAGUUAAGAGUUUACCCUAAUUGUGUAACUAUAUAAGCAUCUUAUUAUUGAGGAAAAAAUCGGCCACUAGUAUUAUUCAAGAAAGGGCUAGCCGGUUUUGGUGAGUGUAGAAUUCUCUCAAGUCAUUCUAAGUGUUUUGAUGAUUGUGAUUCCAUUUGAGGUGUCACACUUGGGGCACUAAGCACUCAAGCUUCAUGAAGACUUUCUACAUCAAAGAGGUAUGUAUUCUAUCUUGCUAUAGUCAUUGUUUUGUAUGCUAGAUUAGAAUAAUACCUUGGAAGUUCUUAUUUGCAUGUAUAAUAGAGAAAACAUAGAUCCAAGGUAUUUAGGGUUGCAUGUACACUUAGGAGUGUUAGAAUGCUCAAAACCCAAC
RNAcentral lists this long non-coding RNA (7052 nucleotides) under Lactuca sativa (garden lettuce). Its description in RNAcentral is "long non-coding RNA (LSAT_LNC005650)". Lineage: Eukaryota; Viridiplantae; Streptophyta; Magnoliopsida; Asterales; Asteraceae. The record is from RNAcentral.